GGAGAGGUGCCGGAGCGGCCGAACGGGCACGACUGGAAAUCGUGUAGGGGUGCAAGCCUCUCGCGGGUUCGAAUCCCGCCCUCUCCGCCA
Molecule: transfer RNA, 90 nt
Filed under: Chloroflexota bacterium
Lineage: Bacteria; Bacillati; Chloroflexota
Also listed under: 3 other names
Description: tRNA-Ser
Rfam family: tRNA
About the family: Transfer RNA (tRNA) molecules are approximately 80 nucleotides in length. Their secondary structure includes four short double-helical elements and three loops (D, anti-codon, and T loops).
Source: RNAcentral